CCUACGGGAGGCAGCAGUGGGGAAUUUUGGACAAUGGGCGAAAGCUGAUCCAGCAAUGCCGCGUGCAGGGUGAAGGCCUUCGGGUUGUAAACUGCUUUUGUACGGAACGAAAAAGCUUCUCCUAAUACGAGAGGCCCAUGACGGUACCGUAAGAAUAAGCACCGGCUAACUACGUGCCAGCAGCCGCGGUAAUACGUAGGGUGCGAGCGUUAAUCGGAAUUACUGGGCGUAAAGCGUGCGCAGGCGGUUAUGUAAGACAGAUGUGAAAUCCCCGGGCUCAACCUGGGAACUGCAUUUGUGACUGCAUGGCUAGAGUACGGUAGAGGGGGAUGGAAUUCCGCGUGUAGCAGUGAAAUGCGUAGAGAUGUGGAGGAACACCGAUGGCGAAGGCAAUCCCCUGGACCUGUACUGACGCUCAUGCACGAAAGCGUGGGGAGCAAACAGGAUUAGAUACCCUGGUAGUCCACGCCCUAAACGAUGUCAACUGGUUGUUGGGAAUUAGUUUUCUCAGUAACGGAGCUAACGCGUGAAGUUGACCGCCUGGGGAGUACGGCCGCAAGGUUGAAACUCAAAUGAAUUGACGGGG
This 586-nucleotide ribosomal RNA is filed under the name uncultured Delftia sp. Its description in RNAcentral is "bacterial SSU rRNA". It matches the Rfam family "Bacterial small subunit ribosomal RNA", at positions 338 to 918 of the family's 1533-position model. Lineage: Bacteria; Pseudomonadati; Pseudomonadota; Betaproteobacteria; Burkholderiales; Comamonadaceae. The record is from RNAcentral.